Molecule: RNA transcript, 1725 nt
Organism: Pistacia vera
Lineage: Eukaryota; Viridiplantae; Streptophyta; Magnoliopsida; Sapindales; Anacardiaceae
Gene name: protein FLX-like 1
Exons: 7
Source: RefSeq, a predicted model, not a curated record
GCAUUAUUUCAUACUUCAAAUAUCAUUCGCUUCCAACGUAGCAUUCCAAUAAUAUGUUUGGCAGCCUAGAAAAUUCCAAGCUUUAUUAUUAUUUUUUCCUAGAAAAUUCGGGCAUUUAUUUCCUAUGAUAAGAUUCAUCUCUCAUCGGAUUCCCUCCUUUCUCGAAGGUUUGUGAAGUGAAGGGAGAACCUUGGUCUAUAGUUAUUGAAAGUUAUAGCUUUUUAGAGUGUUAUUAUAUCCAACGGAAGAAUAAAUGGCCGGAAGAAAUCGUGGGCCGCCUCUUCCGAUGAAAGGUGCUUCUCAUGUGGGGCUGCCACCUCCGGUCCAUGAACCCUCAUUUGGGAGAGGCCUGGGGCCAAUGCCACCCCAUCCGGCAUUGCUGGAGGAAAUGAGGGAAUCCCAGUUUGGGAUGGGUCCUAGAGCUCUUCCACCCCAUCCAGUGAUAAUUGAGGAGCGCCUUGCGGUUCAACAUCAAGAUAUUCAAGGUCUUUUAGCUGAUAACCAACGAUUAGCUGCGACUCAUGUUGCGCUAAAGCAGGAAUUGGAAGCUGCACAGCAUGAGUUGCAGCGGAUGGCACACUUUGCUGAUUCUUUUCGGGCAGAUAAGGAUGUUCAAAUGAGGGAAGUGUACGACAAGUCAGUGCGGUUGGAGGUUGAUCUUCGAGGGGCAGAGGCAAUGCGGGGUGAGCUUCUUAAGGUUCAGGCUGAUAUUAAGGAGCUUACUGCUGUGAGACAGGAACUUACGGGCCAAGUUCAAGUAAUGAGUCAAGAUUUGGCUAGGGUUACAGCAGAUUUACAACAGGUACCAGCUUUGAAGGCAGAAAUUGAGAACAUGAAACAGGAACUGCAACGUGCAAGAGCUGCUAUUGAGUAUGAGAAGAAAGGAUAUGCAGAGAACUAUGAACAUGGCCAGGUGAUGGAGAAGAAAUUGAUUUCAAUGGCUCGGGAGUUGGAGAAGCUCCGUGCAGAGAUUGCUAAUGCAGAGAAGAGAGCUCGUGCAUCAGCUGCUGUUGGAAACGCUGGUGCCGGUUAUAAUGCAACUUAUGGCACUCCUGAAGCUGGGUAUACUGGAAAUCCUUACCCCGCCAGCUAUGGCAUAAAUCCUAUGCAGGCUGGUGCAGAAACUUAUCCUCAUUAUGGACCUGGACCUGGAUCUUGGGGUGCAUAUGAUAUGCAGCGAGCUCAAGGACACAGAUAGAUUGGUCAUCAGAUCAUGCUAAAAUUGUCUUAUCUGGUUUUCAACCUUUGGUGCUUCUAAUCUGCUGCUUCUGCCAUUAUUGCUGAUUUUUGAAUUUUUUGAGGGAAGCUUUGUUCUUCUCAGUGAUUGCUCGACAUUCCAAGGUUAGAGAAGUUAUUUAGUUGGGACCAGAAUCGUUGUGUCAAAUGCUGGAGCAGGAUGAAGAUUUCAAUGAGACAUGGCAGGUAAUUUACAUCUUAGUAUUUUGAAGACUCUGGCUGUUUGGAUUUGCUUUUCUUGGCAACGAAAAUAGAGGGUUAAUAAAACCACUCACAUAAAAGAGAACUCUAAAAAAUUUAAAGUAAUGAUAUUAGUAGAAGAUGUGAUUUUGUUUUGAAAUAAAGCAAAAAUAAGGUUGCUGUGUGUGAUGAAUAGAAAUAGAGUUGAUUGAUAGACUUAAAUGGGGAACUUUGAGAAAUGUUGAAGAAAUUAGUUGAAGAAGACAGUGAGGGACCAACACUUGCAUGUCUGAGAAACUUGAAGAGCUA